RNAcentral lists this ribosomal RNA (496 nucleotides) under uncultured bacterium. RNAcentral describes it as "partial 16S ribosomal RNA". It matches the Rfam family "Bacterial small subunit ribosomal RNA", at positions 28 to 507 of the family's 1533-position model. The record is from RNAcentral.
GAUGAACGCUGGCGGCGUGCCUAAUACAUGCAAGUCGAGCGAACAGACGAGGAGCUUGCUCCUCUGACGUUAGCGGCGGACGGGUGAGUAACACGUGGAUAACCUACCUAUAAGACUGGGAUAACUUCGGGAAACCGGAGCUAAUACCGGAUAAUAUAUUGAACCGCAUGGUUCAAUAGUGAAAGACGGUUUUGCUGUCACUUAUAGAUGGAUCCGCGCCGCAUUAGCUAGUUGGUAAGGUAACGGCUUACCAAGGCAACGAUGCGUAGCCGACCUGAGAGGGUGAUCGGCCACACUGGACCUGAGACACGGUCCAGACUCCUACGGGAGGCAGCAGUAGGGAAUCUGCCGCAAUGGGCGAAAGCCUGCCGGAGCAACGCCGCGUGAGUGAUGAAGGUCUUCGGUUCGUAAAACUCUGUUAUUAGGGAAGAACAAAUGUGUAAGUAACUAUGCCCGUCUUGACGGUACCUAUCAGAAAGCCACGGCUAACUACGUG